GGCUGGUGGAGUCAAAAUCGGUUAUUUUUGUUUUAUUCCUUUCUUUUGGUUUUGUGAAUAGACAUCAUUCUUUCUUUUAUUUAUUUAUUUUCCGUUAGGGGAAAAGGGGAUUAAGGUUCUUUUCGUUUUUUAUUUCGUUGGGGGAUUAGGGGGGAGAUGGAGAGGAUGCGACGCGAGAGAGGGUGAAGCACAGAGUCUUCGUGUGCGAUCCAAAAGUGGAGACAACGGUGAUGGAGGGUCGAUUCGAGAAGUAGGAGGAAGUGUUAAGAACCAAGCGCAAUUUUUUUAGAAUGAACGAGAAGGGCUUUGUGUUUCUUGGGGUUUUGGGCAAACGUGGGGAGUGACUAUCCUAAUGGUUGACGAGGUUUCAAACCAGCAUGUAGAGAUGAUGGCCUUGGUUGGGGUGUAAGUGUUUUGAGCUUUAUUAUAGUUGAAGUUCACUAAGUCUGCAAAACUACCCUUAUAUGAGUUGUCCAUAUAUAUCUCAAUUUAGAACGUGACAAUGCAUGGUUUAGGUGCUGGAAUGGGUGGGUUCGAGGUAAGUUUGGGAGUAGGACAGUGGCUUAGCUAUCUUUCUGUGUGGCAGUGGCGGCCCGAGUGGGUUUAGUGCAAUUGGGUGUUUGAGAUUGAGUUAAGGAAGGGUGAGUGACUGGUGCAGAAAUGUUGUAGCUAACUAUUGUUUUUCUCAUGACUAUGUUUGGCAGCAUGUAAUUAAUUGAUUUCAAACUGCUAUGAGGUUGUGUGCUUGGACAGUAGAAUUGUUGUAGCUGGUUCGUGACGUUUGUACUUGAAACUGGUUGGUAAUGAUUUAAGGAUUGUCCCCCUGUGUUGUGAGAGUUAUAAAUGGUUUUGACGUUGUGGGAAGCGACGUUGCCGUCAUAGGGUACCUUGUUAGUUGUGUUGUCCUUUAUUUUAUGAAAAUCAACUUGUUCGUGAAGUUAUAUGUGCUGGUUGGUAAUAAGUGGUGUGUUUCGUCACUUUGGCCUGAAUAGAUUAUGUUGUUGUCUUGUUGUGGAUUUGAUCUGUUUAAAUUGUUAUCCUGUUGUUCCUACAUACUUUGAAGUUUUACGUGGGGUUGGGUAUUUUUAAUACUCGUUCUAACAUGUGUGAGAUACUUCAUGUCCUUGAAUACCUCGGGUUGGGUGGUUAUGUGUGAGUAGUGAUGGUCUAAGGAUAGUAGUUGUGGGCAAGGUUGGAGUUGUGUUAGAGAAUGGUAGUGAGUGGAGUUCGAACCUCAAAAUACCUUGAGUGUUACUCUUGUUAUUGCGCAAGAGCAAAGAGUGAUUGAUGGUGAAGUUUGGUAACAUAUGGGGAAUUUAAGGGUUCUCUGCGAUGUAGUGGAAAGAGGUCUUUUGUGCCGGUGCGUGGCAGUGGAAGAGGAUGAGUUAAAAAAGAGCGGUAAUGGUUUUUCGUGAAUAUUGUUUUUCUUAGUGAGAGAGACACAAUGUUGAAUCAAACAUGCGGUGUAGUGGUGGUUAUGAUUCUUUAGAAUGUCGUCUUGCCAUACUUCGUUAAUUCGGGAUUAUACUUUUCCUCUUUCAAGGGGUAGAAUGGUAGUCAUAUUUCCUCUUCUGAGGGGUAGAAAGGUUGGAUCUCUUCUUCUUUAAAAGGCGGUGGAAGAGAUGGGUCUCUUCGUUUAUGAUGGGCGGUAGAAGGGACUGGAAUUCAAGUGCUUUCUUUUCCUCUUGCGAUGGGGUAGAAAAUGAUUGAUGUCUCGCUCGUAGGAUUUCGGCUCAUGCUGAGUUUGGGAACAAGGGAGAUAAGUCCGAAGCUGCGGUAAAGGACCACUCGAAUUAUUCUGUUUUGGUAAACAGGGUGCGGGAAAGUUUGGAAGAAGACAUUCGUUUAUAAAGAUGGUUGGUAUUGACACAGGUUUUCUGUAAUGGAAGGGUUGUGUGGAACUAAUGGGUUGAUCAUGAUUCCUUAUAAAGAAAUGUAUGGGUUGUCAAUGUAUUGAUUGUUAUAGUCUUACUAUGUGUUGAUACUAUUUGAUGUGAUAUGAUUGUGAUAAAGGCUCAACAUCUGAGAUAUAAGUGUUAUGUUGGUGUUU
Molecule: long non-coding RNA, 2050 nt
Organism: Vigna angularis (adzuki bean)
Lineage: Eukaryota; Viridiplantae; Streptophyta; Magnoliopsida; Fabales; Fabaceae
Exons: 2
Source: RefSeq, a predicted model, not a curated record